UGGGGAAUUUUGGACAAUGGGCGAAAGCCUGAUCCAGCAAUGCCGCGUGUGUGAAGAAGGCCUUCGGGUUGUAAAGCACUUUUGUCCGGAAAGAAAUCCUUGGCUCUAAUACAGUCGGGGGAUGACGGUACCGGAAGAAUAAGCACCGGCUAACUACGUGCCAGCAGCCGCGGUAAUACGUAGGGUGCAAGCGUUAAUCGGAAUUACUGGGCGUAAAGCGUGCGCAGGCGGUUUGCUAAGACCGAUGUGAAAUCCCCGGGCUCAACCUGGGAACUGCAUUGGUGACUGGCAGGCUAGAGUAUGGCAGGAGGGGGGUAGAAUUCCACGUGUAGCAGUGAAAUGCGUAGAGAUGUGGAGGAAUACCGAUGGCGAAGGCAGCCCCCCUGGGCCAAUACUGACGCUCAUGCACGAAAGCGUGGGGAGCAAACAGGAUUAGAUACCCUGGUAGUCCACGCCCUAAACGAUGUCAACUAGUUGUGGGGAUUCAUUUCCUAGUAACGUAGCUAACGCGUGAAGUUGACCGCCUGGGGAGUACGGUCGCAAGAUUAAAACUCAAAUGAAUUGACGGGGUCAUAGCUG
This 579-nucleotide ribosomal RNA is filed under the name uncultured bacterium. RNAcentral describes it as "partial 16S ribosomal RNA". It matches the Rfam family "Bacterial small subunit ribosomal RNA", at positions 355 to 932 of the family's 1533-position model. The record is from RNAcentral.